This is an RNA transcript of Dinoponera quadriceps, 1524 nucleotides long. It is a transcript of the gene named protein NPC2 homolog, with no coding region annotated. NCBI's taxonomy places the organism in Eukaryota, Metazoa, Arthropoda, Insecta, Hymenoptera, Formicidae. The record is from RefSeq and is a predicted model, not a curated record. The transcript has 5 exons.
CACAGCAAAUUGUUUGUUAUCAUAAUCAUAACAGAAAUAUUUGUUACGUGGAAAAAAAUAAUUUUGCCGUUGCAGCAAAACGUCGUUGCGACAGCAAUGAAAUUCCGUUGGCAUAAUUAGUGAUUAACACUCUUAACCAAUUUUUUCCUGUCCAAACGAAUCUUUUUAAAUAACAAACAAUUGGUUGCCCCAGCAACAAAUUUUCCUCCAUGAACGAUCGGUGGCCAUCGACUUUAGUCGACGAUCUUUAGUCGACCGAAGGAAAUUAUUUCAAUUCACGUCCGAAGUGCGCGCCCGUGAUUACUCAUCUUCGCGGAGAUUGUUUUCCAAUCGAAGUGAAAUAAAGAGGAACUUGAGACUCGAUAACGGGAUAAAUAUUGUUAUUUCUGCAGGACACGUACAAUUCGAGCAUUAUAUCGGCGAGACCGUUCGAUCGUGUUUCGUGGUAAAAGAAUGGAUGCGUAAGACGAGGUUGCGCCGAGGAGUCAGUCAUUCAUGAAACUACGCGAAGAUAUUAUCAUUAACAUAAUGAGAGUCACGUCUGCAUUAGAUAAGCGCGACGCUUAUAAGUUCGGCAUAGCACGCAACGGUAUUAAUAAUUGCGCGAUAGUCGAGGUGACAACAUGAACCGAAUCGCUGUUGCUGUCGCGCUAUUGUGCGCCCUGUCGUCCACCUUUGCCUUCAGUUUCGAAGACUGCGGCUCGGAGGUAGGCAAGUUCGGCGAUAUAUCUAUCUCGAGUUGCACCACGACGGACGAAAAAUGCAUUUUCACACGCGGCAACGAUAUACAAGUGUCCCUUAAAUUCACGCCAAGUAAAGACACCUCGACGGUAGAAGCGCGCGCUUUCGGUGUGAUGCUCGACGUGCCGGUACCGUUUCCUCUGGAAAAGCCCGAUGUGUGCAAGGAUGGCGGUCCCGGAGUCAAGUGUCCUCUGACUAAGGACCAAGAAUAUGAGUACACAACCACGUUCGCUGUAGACAAGGCCGUGCCUGCGUUGAGCAUCGACGUUUUGUUGCAAUUUAUAAACGACAACGAUGAGAAGCUGAUGUGCGUGAAAUUCCCGGUGAAGAUCACGUAAAGGACUUGCGGCACUUCCGUGGCUCGCAUUAUGAAGAAUAAUCAUAGCAAUUUGGUGGCGAGAGAUGAAUACAUGCACAGGUGCAACUAUGAAAUGUAGAUGACGGAUUUCAUUAUCCACAUUUCUCCGCAACGCAUAUCGAAGAUCCAUGGGGCAAACUUCAGAGGAUAGUAGUUUCUCACGAAGAGAACUAAUUUUUGUCAAGGAAUCCAUAUAUCCUUCGACGUGUCCUUGUUUGGACCGCCUGUGAGAUAGGCAACCAGUCGAUUAUUAUCUGUUUUAAUGGACACGACUCCGAUAAAUUACUUUUACCUUGACAUAUGUUGUCGGAAACAUCCUCUCCUGAUUAACCUCCGAGAGGUUUUAGUCGGCGGUCUUUGUUUAUUAAAAUGUGAUUAACUAAAAGAUUUUUCAGACAAAGUUCAAAUAAAGUUGGCAAUUUAAA